GCCGGGCGAGGUGGCGGGCGCCUGUAGUCCCAGCUACUCGGGAGGCUGAGGCAGGAGAAUGGCGUGAACCCGGGAGGCGGAGCUUGCAGUGAGCUGAUCUUGGCUCACUGCAACCUCUGCCUCCCGGGUUUAAGCGAUUCUCCUGCCUCAG
Molecule: small RNA, 151 nt
Filed under: Papio anubis (olive baboon)
Lineage: Eukaryota; Metazoa; Chordata; Mammalia; Primates; Cercopithecidae
Description: Metazoan signal recognition particle RNA (ENSPANG00000050385.1)
Source: Rfam by way of RNAcentral